UCUACAGUUUCAAAAAUUUCCAACAAAGUGGAAGUGUCUUCAAAACAACAGUGUGUGGUUCUGCAAACAGAAUAACCUUGCUGUGCUGCUGUGCUGACUAUUAUUUGUAUUACAUAAAUAAGUGAAGUUAAGAUAUGACUGAAGCUGAGAUAUACGACUUUAUUACCAAAUGGUCUCGCUACAUCCUGCUCUGCAUCUGGAUUUUUGAUAUCGUCCUGAUAUUCACCAUUUAUCACUUGAGAACAACUUUUAGUAUCAGGAUGGAAAAUUACUGGAACAGACGCCAACAAGAGGACAGUGUCGACAACAGAGUAAGAGGCUCUACAAGCGAGGAGUCCACUUGAAGCAGUAAUUGAAAGAAAAAUAUCCGAUUGCUCUCACAUGUAGCAGCUUAAAACAACAACAGGCAUCACUGCGUUGAUCUGUUUUUGUUCAUUUCUUUUAACCAUGUAUUUUGUUUAUAUCAGCAUUAAAAAAUUUAAUAACAGGUACAACCUGAUAAAGUGAUGCUAAGUGUUUCUGAUAAAUAAAAUACUUUGUCUGAAAAAAUAAGAUUUUCGAGAUGGGUAUGGAUGCAGACCUGGUGCAGUGCAAUCUGGGCUGCAUCCAAUGCUUUUUAAUGGGCUCACCUAACCCCACCCCUAACCCUACCCCUCACAGUGACAUCACUCGCUCCAUAUGAGUGCAUUGUGUCUGACAUUGCAUCGCUGAAUCAUGCAAUCUCAGCUUGCAUCAUAAAGGCUGCAUCCAGAUACUAUUGAGAUUUUCAGCAUAUCAACCCUAACCUCUGGUUCAUUUAGGACACACUUACAAUAAUAAUGGAGAAUCUCUAGAGGCAAUACAGUUUUCAUUUGUUUUUCUUCGGUUUAGUUUCUAUUUCAGAGGUUGCCACAGUGGAAUGAACCGCCAACUAUUCUAGCAUAUGUUUUACACAGCGGAUGCCCUUUUAGCCAUAACCCAGUACUGGGAAACACCCCCCCCCCCCUCCACACACACACACACAUAUACACUACAGCCAAUUUAGCUUAUUCAUUUCACACCAAACCCACGCCAACACAGAACAUACAAAGUCCACACAGAAAUGCCAACUGACCCAGCCAGGACUCGAACCAGUCACCCUCUUGCUUUGAGGCAACAGUGCUAAUCACUAAGCCACCAUGCUGCCCUGCAAUACAGUUUUUUAAAGUAAAUAUUCCUGACAGACAUCCACAUUCAUGAUCUUUUCUUUGAUUCUAAAAACGUUGAAGACUGCUAUUUAUUUGCCAUUUAUUUAUAAUCAUUCGGUGCAUUGUAUUUAAAGUUCUGACUUUGUAUAGUCACAACAUCACACAUUUACCACAGAGGAAGUGCCUUUACUUUAAACAGUGCGUAUCAGCAAACAGAGCAAAACCUGAUCCUGUUUACCAUACAUCUACUUAAACUACGAUUUAUUGUGAGAAGAUAGAGGAGCAGACAAGAAUUAUGGUAAAUGCUUUUAUUAACUUGAC
Molecule: long non-coding RNA, 1487 nt
Organism: Danio aesculapii
Lineage: Eukaryota; Metazoa; Chordata; Actinopteri; Cypriniformes; Danionidae
Exons: 4
Source: RefSeq, a predicted model, not a curated record